This 1539-nucleotide long non-coding RNA is filed under the name Pogona vitticeps (central bearded dragon). RNAcentral's name for it is "lncRNA (ENSPVIG00000014351.1)". Lineage: Eukaryota; Metazoa; Chordata; Lepidosauria; Squamata; Agamidae. The record is from RNAcentral.
AUGCAAACAGUUUUAAGGGGGGGAAAUGCACACUGGGUCUCCAGCCUUUUCUUUUGCUGUUUGUGUUUUCCGUUACUGCUUUGUUGUGAUAAUUUUCUAUUUCACAGUUGCAGGUUUAUGAGUGACCAAAAGUUCUUCUUCACAACACUGAGCCAGCAGGGAGUGGGGCAAAGAUGCCAAUANNNNNNNCCCUCUGGGAAUCUGCUACCUACUAGGUGGUCAGCAUUGCUUCAUAGAGAAAGGAUUGUAGCACAGUGCAAAAACUGGAUUCCUUUUCUCUUGUUUCUUUUGAAAUCUCCAAGAACAAAGUACAUUGGUCUGGAACCAGCAGGAAAUUUAGUUUGUUUGAGAAGACUUUGUACAUGCAUAAAGGUUGUGGUUCAGUGUUUAUGUACCAUGUAGGAUUUUCCAGCUUCAAUCUCUCUGUGUCCAAUUUCCAGUUAUACUCCAAAGUAGCAAAUCUGUGGGAGUUGUUACAGAGGAGUGAUACACCAAAGUACAGUGGUGCCUCCAUUUACGACCAUAAUCCAUUCCAGAAAAUGGAAAUAAGUCGAAAUGGUCAUAAGCCGAAGCACCAUUUCCCAUAGGAAUGCAUUGAAACCCCAUUAAUCCGUUCCAGCAAAAGAAAAAAAAAUUACCAAAAAUAUCACUGCAAGACUCAUUGGAAACACAAGUAAUCCCUUCCGGCCAAAGGUGGUGGGGGGGAGAAAAUCAAUCAAGCGUGCAAGACCCAUUGCAAAUGCACAGAAAACAAACGGAGCUGAUUGGAAACACACAGAGAAGGGACAGGGUUGGUAAUGCAAAGAAAACAAAGGAAAAAUAAGGGAAGCAUGCAGAACCCAUCAGAAAUGGGGGGAAAACCCAAAAAAAGCAACCAAACCCCCCAAGAUCCAUCGGAAAUGAGGGGGGGAACCAACCAACAAACAAACCCCCAAGACGCAUCACAGCACAGAAACAUAACCCCCCAGCCUAAAACCGCGCUGCAAAAACACAGUUUUUUAAAAGCAGAAAACAGCACCUUGCCUUACCUAACAGGCAGUCCCAAGCCUGCCUACAAACACACACAUGCUCACUGAGAAGCUCACUCUAACACUGGGAGCGAAAGAGCUACAAAGAAGCAGCCUCUUUCUGCCACCUACAGUUAGCAAUUUGAAUUUCUCACCUUUUUCCCCUGCCUUUUUCUGUUUGUAAGUGGAAGCUCCAGUCACAAGUAGAAGCAAAAUUUUGCAGCCAGAGCUGGUUGUAAGUUGAAUUGGUCGUAGGUAGGGACGUUCAUAAAUGGAGGCACCAUUGUAUCAAUGAUCUUAGCUUGAUGGUCCAAAAGGGCCGUAGAUUUAUGGAUUGGAGUAGUGAGAGAAAUAUGACUUGAAAGUAAGUGAAGAUGGAUCAUUGUUGAAGAUGUGUUUCUUUGAACCCUUUCCCUUUCCCAUUAGUCUGUAAUGAGAGAAUGGUAAUGCUUAGUUCAAGCUUUUGAAGAAGGGAUAGAAUGUAGCUUCCCAUUUUCAAGAAAUAAAUUUCUGAGAACAUUAAACGGGAACA